GGUUUGGGGUUUUUUUAAUGUUGAGCCAACCUUACGGGAAAAUGGUCAUUUCCAGUAUGCAGUGGAGCUGAGAAGGGGACAGGACAGAGCCCAGUGGAGCGCAGCAGGGCAGACAGCUCGAAGCAGACCACGCUUUUGGCACCGAGGAGCAGCCGUCGGCUCCAGAGCUGCUGCCGGGAUGGAGUGGGGCCCACCGAGGGCUCUGCCCCAGAGCCGUGCCCAGGGGGAUCCUGCCUGGAAAGAGCCUCUUCCCUGGGCCGCCUGCAGCGUGGCUGGAAAUCAUCUCGGAGUGCCACAUCCAUCACCCCCAAAUUGUUCGGCAACCUCCAGGACAGCGUGAGCAGGCAGCAGCAUCUGUUCCUCCCCACCGGGGCCGCGAUGAUGGACUGCCAAGGACGGGGCUCCCGCCGAACUUCUCGCCGCCUGCGAGCCAAGGUGCUGAGGAAAGUUGUAACCUCCCCAGGUCAGCGAAGCCUCCUCGCUUGACAUCAACCCCAACGAGCAUCUGUGUCCUCCUUGAGACCCUCCCAGAAGAUGGAACAAGGACGGCACCGAAGGAUUUAACUCCAGUGGACUCUCCGUACCUCUGGUCACACAGCCAAUUUAUUCUUCCGCAGUACGGCGCUGUCCCUGUGGGCCAAUUAGGCAGAGAUACCACCUUCUGAAAGCAGCACAUGAUGGAGCCACAUGUCUUUGCUGCAAUCAAGGCAAGUCAUCACUUCUGCUGUUUAUUUCUGAUCUUCCCCAUGGAUUUCCUGGGAGGGUUUUGCCCUGUGAAUUAUAUUUU
Molecule: long non-coding RNA, 787 nt
Filed under: Athene cunicularia (burrowing owl)
Lineage: Eukaryota; Metazoa; Chordata; Aves; Strigiformes; Strigidae
Description: lncRNA (ENSACUG00000014677.1)
Source: RNAcentral